AUUAAUUUGGUGCAGUUGGCAUUGGCUGCUUUGCGCAAGUCAAAUGAAGUUCAUGGUGUUUUUGACUUUGAGAGAUAUCUUGGGAGCAUCCUCUCUCACCAGCAUCCUGCACACACCAUCUCAGAGCUCACUGUUCCUCUGAAUGCCAUUGAUUUUUUGGCAAGUAAACUUGAGACC
Molecule: long non-coding RNA, 177 nt
Organism: Cornus florida
Lineage: Eukaryota; Viridiplantae; Streptophyta; Magnoliopsida; Cornales; Cornaceae
Exons: 3
Source: RefSeq, a predicted model, not a curated record